Molecule: long non-coding RNA, 550 nt
Organism: Oncorhynchus keta (chum salmon)
Lineage: Eukaryota; Metazoa; Chordata; Actinopteri; Salmoniformes; Salmonidae
Exons: 3
Source: RefSeq, a predicted model, not a curated record
UGUAAAUGCCAUAUGUUUGUAGAUCUCUUGUGUGGUUUAGGAUACAUGUCACUUUGUCCCCACCUACCUGAGCCCUAGGAUCAUGGAUCAUGCCUCAGGACUAUCUGGCCUGAUUACUUCUGGCUGUCCCCAGUCUACCUGGUCGUGCUGCUGCUCCAGUUUCAACUGUUCUGCCGGCGGCUAGGGAACCCUGACCUGUUCCAGUGACUUUCUACCUUGUCGCAGACCUGCUGUCUUCGACUCUCUCUACUGCACCUGCUGUCUUAACCUCUGAAUGCUCGGUUAUGAAAAGCCAACUGACAUGUAGUCCUGAGGUCAGAGGGAUUAUCAGAGUCUGGUCCAAACACACUUCUACUGUUGGAGAGUGUUUUUUACAGGCACUGAAUCCAUUGCCCACCUGGUCAACUUCUCCAUAACUGAUAACAGAGGAGACAUUCUCUGAUUGCCCUAAAAUGGCUGAGAUAGGACCACAACAGUCUUCGUAAAAUGCUUGCUUCAUUGUCCAGCAUGGGAUUAUAGCUAACUAGGGCCCGGGAGGACAGGUGCCGGA